GAUGAAGACGUAGCGAAAUGCGAUAAGUAAUGUGAAUUGCAGAAUUCAGUGAAUCAUCGAAUCUUUGAACGCACAUUGCGCCCUCUGGUAUUCCGGGGGGCAUGCCUGUUCGAGCGUCAUUAUAACCACUCAAGCUCUCGCUUGGUAUUGGGGUUCGCGGUUCCGCGGCCCCUAAAAUCAGUGGCGGUGCCUGUCGGCUCUACGCGUAGUAAUACUCCUCGCGAUUGAGUCCGGUAGGUCUACUUGCCAGCAACCCCCAAUUUUUACAGGUUGACCUCGGAUCAGGUAGGGAUACCCGCUGAACUUAAGCAUAUCAAUAAGCGGAGGA
This 328-nucleotide unclassified non-coding RNA is filed under the name soil metagenome. RNAcentral describes it as "partial contains 5.8S ribosomal RNA, internal transcribed spacer 2, and large subunit ribosomal RNA". The stretch from base 1 to 119 matches the Rfam family "5.8S ribosomal RNA", at positions 35 to 154 of the family's 154-position model. The record is from RNAcentral.